This 159-nucleotide ribosomal RNA is filed under the name Cortinarius semisanguineus. RNAcentral's name for it is "5.8S ribosomal RNA". It matches the Rfam family "5.8S ribosomal RNA". From Rfam's summary of the family: 5.8S ribosomal RNA (5.8S rRNA) is a component of the large subunit of the eukaryotic ribosome. The record is from RNAcentral. Lineage: Eukaryota; Fungi; Basidiomycota; Agaricomycetes; Agaricales; Cortinariaceae.
CAACUUUCAGCAACGGAUCUCUUGGCUCUCGCAUCGAUGAAGAACGCAGCGAAAUGCGAUAAGUAAUGUGAAUUGCAGAAUUCAGUGAAUCAUCGAAUNUUUGAACGCACCUUGCGCUCCUUGGUAUUCCGAGGAGCAUGCCUGUUUGAGUGUCAUUAA